AGGGGUAUAGCUCAGUGGUAGAGCGUGUGCCUAGCAUGCAUGAGGUCCGGGGUUCAAUCCCCAGCACCUCCA
This 72-nucleotide transfer RNA is filed under the name Camelus bactrianus (Bactrian camel). It matches the Rfam family "tRNA". From Rfam's summary of the family: Transfer RNA (tRNA) molecules are approximately 80 nucleotides in length. Their secondary structure includes four short double-helical elements and three loops (D, anti-codon, and T loops). Further hydrogen bonds mediate the characteristic L-shaped molecular structure. tRNAs have two regions of fundamental functional importance: the anti-codon, which is responsible for specific mRNA codon recognition, and the 3' end, to which the tRNAs corresponding amino acid is attached (by aminoacyl-tRNA synthetases). tRNAs cope with the degeneracy of the genetic code in two manners: having more than one tRNA (with a specific anti-codon) for a particular amino acid; and 'wobble' base-pairing, i.e. permitting non-standard base-pairing at the 3rd anti-codon position. The record is from Rfam by way of RNAcentral. Lineage: Eukaryota; Metazoa; Chordata; Mammalia; Artiodactyla; Camelidae. RNAcentral also lists the same sequence under 1 other name.